GAGAAUCUUUCGCAAUGGGGGAAACCCUGACGACGCGACGCCGCGUGGAGGAUGAAGGCCUUCGGGUUGUAAACUCCUGUCAGGGGUGAAGAAACUUCGCAAGAAGCUGACGGUAACCCCAGAGGAAGCCCCGGCUAACUACGUGCCAGCAGCCGCGGUAAUACGUAGGGGGCAAGCGUUGCUCGGAAUUACUGGGCGUAAAGGGUGUGUAGGUGGCUGAUUAAGUUAAGGAUGAAAUCCCGAGGCUCAACUUCGGAACUGUCCUUGAUACUGGUCAGCUUGAGGCUAGUAAAGGAGAGCGGAAUUCCCGGCGUAGCGGUGAAAUGCGUAGAUAUCGGGAGGAACACCAGAGGCGUAGGCGGUUCUCUAGGCUAGUCCUGACACUGAGACACGAAAGCUAGGGGAGCAAACG
Molecule: ribosomal RNA, 412 nt
Filed under: uncultured prokaryote
Description: bacterial SSU rRNA
Rfam family: Bacterial small subunit ribosomal RNA
Source: RNAcentral